GCCCAGUUGAACCUUCGGUGGUCCGAGGUGCGGGCUUCAAACCCGUAGCUGAUUAGCGUCAGAGUGGUUCAAUUCCACCUACUGGGC
Molecule: transfer RNA, 87 nt
Filed under: Tetranychus urticae (two-spotted spider mite)
Lineage: Eukaryota; Metazoa; Arthropoda; Arachnida; Trombidiformes; Tetranychidae
Description: Selenocysteine transfer RNA
Rfam family: Selenocysteine transfer RNA
Source: Rfam by way of RNAcentral